RNAcentral lists this long non-coding RNA (1261 nucleotides) under Homo sapiens (human). Its description in RNAcentral is "HSALNT0290340". Lineage: Eukaryota; Metazoa; Chordata; Mammalia; Primates; Hominidae. The record is from RNAcentral.
CGGAAGGCGCCGGCGCCCAGCUGGGUCAAGUUGUUGUAGCUGAGGUCGAGGAACACGAGCUUGGCCGAGCCGCUGAACGUGCCCUCCUCCAGCGAGCGCAGCGAGUUGUUCCUGAAGUCCAGGCUGGAGGGUGAGCGAGGCAAGUGGCUGCCAGGGCCCCCGCUGUGGCCUGCAGGGCCAGUCAGCACUUUCCAUGCCGGCCCCGAACUUCUGGAUGGAACUGGCAUCCAUGCAAGGAUCAGCUGCUGGUCUGAGAGGUCCAGCUGCUGAGGCUCUGAGGCCUGGAGUCACCAGGCCUGGCUUCCAAGCUGUGUGGCCUCAGACCAGUACCUCUGCCUCUGUGGACCUGGUAGCUCCAUUUGUGAAAUGGAAAAAGACAACGUGAGGGCCGCAUGGGGAAGUAUUUGUAUGGGAACAUGAUUUGAAAGGUCUUUGGAGAAAUAUUGCCAAUAAAAGUGGCCACAAAUCUUGCGAUGGCAGGAACAAUUUGUUUCCUCGAGUGUCCCCCAAAGUUCCUUGGAUCCAAAUGUAAGCAUUCUUUUCAUUAAUAUCAGCAGAACUAGACAUGGUUGGGCUUUGUAGGGAGCAGGGAGGUAUCUCAGAUUCCAGAGCUCCCAUCCCUUGGGGGAAAUACAAGCUUUGCCACCUCUAAAUUUUUCCCCCAACAAAUAAAACAGAGCCAUGACCUCAGCAAGGUCACAAUAUGAGUCAGUGAUAGGCGCUAGAAAUAGAACACAGGCAUUCUGAGUCCCCACCUGCACCAUUCACCAAUUCACCCACUCACCCCCUCUCCAGGAAGGGAAUCUCUUACCCUUGAGGGCAAACAUUGCAGGUAACAAACAUUGCAGGUAACAGGGAGGAACGUUGAGAGAUUCCACUUGUCAGCUCUGUCUCCGUAUGUAUUCUCAGAGUCUGCACACUUUGUAAUUCCUAUUCAAAAGGCUCAAAGCAGGAGCGUGGCAAAUACCCAAGGUAUCCCUAUGAUUUAAACACCUGACGUCAUGCCUUCCCCAUCCCCCACCCCCAGCGGAAUCCUCACUCCUCCCUGUGUUCUCCGAACUACAGAGCACGUCAUGUCUCACUCUCCAUCCCUGUCCAAUUUCCCAUGAGGUUGGGCCUUGGGAAGCUAUGUGCAAGGCGGUCCCCAGGAAACCCACCACGCGAUGCCAGGUUGCUGUAAGCAAGAAAAAUUCAAUAAGAAGAAUAUCCCCCUUUGUUCACCAGACUGACAUCUAAAUUAGCCAAAAUCCUAUGCCUUAAG